RNAcentral lists this ribosomal RNA (1525 nucleotides) under metagenome. RNAcentral's name for it is "bacterial SSU rRNA". It matches the Rfam family "Bacterial small subunit ribosomal RNA". The record is from RNAcentral.
AGAGUUCGAUCCUGGCUCAGAAUGAACGCUGGCGGCGUGCUUAACACAUGCAAGUCGAACGAGAAAGUCUUAGCUUGCUAAGGCGAGUAUAGUGGCGCACGGGUGAGUAACGCGUGGGUGACCUACCCUUGAAUCGGGAAUAACUCAUCGAAAGGUGAGCUAAUACCGGAUAAUAUUUAUAUUGUUUACGCAAUAUAAAUCAAAGAUAGCCUCUGUUUCAAGCUAUCGUUUGAGGAUGGGCUCGCGUACCAUUAGCUUGUUGGUAGGGUAAUGGCCUACCAAGGCGACGAUGGUUAACUGGUCUGAGAGGAUGAUCAGUCACACUGGAACUGAGACACGGUCCAGACUCCUACGGGAGGCAGCAGUGAGGAAUUUUGCGCAAUGGGGGAAACCCUGACGCAGCAACGCCGCGUGAGUGAAGAAGGAUUUCGGUUCGUAAAGCUCUGUCGAGUGGAAAGAAGAUAUAAAAUAUUAAUAGUGUUUUAUAUUGACGGUACCACUAAAGGAAGCACCGGCUAACUCCGUGCCAGCAGCCGCGGUAAUACGGAGGGUGCAAGCGUUAUUCGGAAUCAUUGGGCGUAAAGGGCGCGUAGGCGGCCUGUUAAGUCAGAUGUGAAAGCCCCGGGCUCAACCUGGGAAGUGCAUUUGAAACUAAUAGGCUUGAGUAUAGGAGAGGAAAGCGGAAUUCCUGGUGUAGAGGUGAAAUUCGUAGAUAUCAGGAGGAACACCUGUGGCGAAGGCGGCUUUCUGGACUAAUACUGACGCUGAGGCGCGAAGGCGUGGGGAGCAAACAGGAUUAGAUACCCUGGUAGUCCACGCAGUAAACGGUGAUCACUAAGUGUUGCGGAAGUUAUUCCGCAGUGCCGGAGCUAACGUAUUAAGUGAUCCGCCUGGGAAGUACGAACGCAAGUUUAAAACUCAAAGGAAUUGACGGGGGCCCGCACAAGCGGUGGAGCAUGUGGUUCAAUUCGACGCAACGCGAAGAACCUUACCUGGAUUUGACAUCUCGGGAAUCUUUAUGAAAAUAGAGAGUGCCUCUUUUGAGGAAUCCGAUGACAGGUGCUGCAUGGCUGUCGUCAGCUCGUGUCGUGAGAUGUUCGGUUAAGUCCGGCAACGAGCGCAACCCUUAUCUUUAGUUGCCAGCGCGUAAUGGCGGGAACUCUAAAGAUACUGCCCCGGUUAACGGGGAGGAAGGUGGGGAUGACGUCAAGUCCUCAUGGCCUUUAUAUCCAGGGCUACACACGUGCUACAAUGGAUGGUACAAAGGGUAGCGAGCCCGCAAGGGUUAGCCAAUCCCAAAAAGCCAUUCUCAGUUCGGAUUGGAGUCUGCAACUCGACUCCAUGAAGUUGGAAUCGCUAGUAAUCGUGGAUCAGCAUGCCACGGUGAAUACGUUCCCGGGCCUUGUACACACCGCCCGUCACACCAUGAGAGUUGGUUGUACCAGAAGCCGUCGGGCUAACUAUUUUUAAUAGGAGCAGGCGUCUAAGGUAUGGCUGAUAAUUGGGGUGAAGUCGUAACAAGGUA